UAAAUUUUGAAUUCUCUCUCAGAAUAAUACUAAUGAUUAGUACUUUAUUUAAAGAAAAGUAUAUAUAUUGUAAAUGUAUGAAAAGAAGUCGGCUUUUUAAUAGGUGAAAAAAGUGGAUUUGUGAUCAGAGACUUCUUUUUAGGCCCAAAUAUUCUUCUUGGGAUUGGUGCAAAUAAUUCAAUUCCCCCUAUAAAUACUCCGCCUCCCUUUCUUCACUUACUCAUAGCUCAUACUGAUGACAUACAGAAAAUAAAAAUCUCAUUUUUUUUUCUUUUGCAAAAAUGGCCCUUUUUGUAUUUUUCCACAGCUUUCUUGAACUGCAUCUAAUUACGAUUUUCACUAAUGAGGAAAUUAAUUCAUAUCGUUGCGGUUCAAUAAAGCUGUGGGAAGAUAUAGAUAGGGUCAAAGAGAAUAACUACAAUUCUUGAAAUCAAAGGAUAUUUUCCUUCCAAUUCUACUUUGAUUAUAUACAUUCUUUUGAGUCUUGGAUCUAUUGAAAAUAAUUGGAGUAAGACUUGUGGGCAUCAUACCCUUUUAGAUCUCACCAUGUAGAUCUCACUUUGAGGGAAUACACUGAAUAUGUAGUUAUUCUACUUAUAUAGAUUGAAGAUUUUGUGAUGCAUGGUUCUUACAGUUUUUAACUUAUAGAUCUGCAUGUUACUUUUUCUUUUUUACUAAGAUUAUUUUUUUACUGACUUGGUAUAUAUAGAUGCAUGGAUUUGUGUUAAUCCAUUAUUGUUGUUAUUAUUGUUUUUGCAGGGAACUAAAGAUGUUUAUGAUGACUGCUGUUAGUUUUAUUAUAAAAAUAGAAAUAUAUGUUUGAGAUUUUACUAUAGAUUAACAGCUUCAUGUGGGAAUAUAUGUUGGAGAUUUUCUGAAGUCUGAACAAGUUUAGACGAACGAACAAGUUCGCGAAUUAUGCGUGAGUCGUGAAAGGUGAGCUUUUAACUUUUACUUCAAAAUUUUCAUGUUCAAAAUUUUGUUACUUUAUUGUAUUUGUGUGUUAAAUUCUUAGCAUGUUCAAAAUUUUGUUACUUUAUUGUAUUUGUGUGUUAAUUUCUUAGAUUUAGUGAGAAAUUGUUAAAUAAUGCGACAAAUUGUUAAUUAAUAUCUAUAAUGUAGUGGCCAUGAAUUAAUAAAAUUGUAUUAGAGGAAUUACUUUAUUAUCUGGAUUAUAUCUGGAUUAGUCGUCUUUAUUAUCUGGAUUAUAUCUGGAUUAGUCGUCUAGAUUAAUCGAGUCAAGACAAGCCGAUAACUUUGACUUUUCAAUAUAUUGUGUUUUAGAUAUUUAUAUUGUGUUUUAACUAUCUGAAUUAGUUGAGUCAAAACAAAUGGAUAACUUUGACUUUUCAAUAUAUUGUGUUUUAAUUUUGCUGGAUGAUAUUUGUGUUCAAUUUCAAUAUAUUGUGUUUUAAUUUUGCUGGAUGAUAUUUGUGUUCAAUGUAUAGCUUUGUGUAUGCUUGAGAUAUAUUGAAUUUUAUUUUUAUCUUCGUGGAAUAGAGAUCUUUUUAAUAUAGAGAUCUUUUUAAUAGAUAAAGAUUUCAUAUGAUACAUGUUUUAGGGAUUGACUUGACUUUUCAAUAUAUUGUGUUUUAAUUUUGCUGGGUGAUAUUUGUGUUCAAUGUAUAGCUUUGUGUAUGCUUGAGAUAUAUUGAAUUUUAUUUUUAAUAGAGAUCUUUUUAAUAGAUAAAGAUUUCAUAUGUACAUGUUGUAGGGAUUGACUUGUGAAGUAUGGUAUUUUUGACUUAGUUUUAACUGUCAAUAUUUUAGUGUUUUAAUUUUGUUAUUUUUGUUUUGCAGCAAUCACAUAAUCUUUUAUUACAUGAAAAAUUAAGAUAUUGUCCAAGUAAAUGAGUGAAGAGGUGGUCGAUGUUGAUGUUGUCAAGGAACCAAAUUCGGUCAAGAUAUCUGCCGCGCCAUUUGCUUCUCGAAAGUUAUGUUGUACCGUUGGACUCCCCAAACUCCUUGCAGGAAUUUCCAGCGAGUCAGUUUCAACACUUGUCACGAAUUAGACCACCAAUACCACAUCAAUUUUUAAUUUGUACAUACUUAGGUGGUAACCAUACAUUUACACAACUCAACUUACAUCAAUUUUUAAUUUGUACAUACUUAGGUGGUAACCAUACAUUAACACAACUCCACUUACUGCAUGGAGUAGAAUUAUAGCUCAAAUACUCGAGGCUUUGCUUCGAACAAUAUUAAUAUUCAAGAAACUAGCUUUCCUAUUGAA
Molecule: long non-coding RNA, 2230 nt
Organism: Capsicum annuum
Lineage: Eukaryota; Viridiplantae; Streptophyta; Magnoliopsida; Solanales; Solanaceae
Exons: 2
Source: RefSeq, a predicted model, not a curated record